This 1434-nucleotide ribosomal RNA is filed under the name uncultured organism. Its description in RNAcentral is "16S ribosomal RNA". It matches the Rfam family "Bacterial small subunit ribosomal RNA". The record is from RNAcentral.
CAGGCUUAACACAUGCAAGUCGAGGGGCAGCAUGGUCUUAGCUUGCUAAGGCCGAUGGCGACCGGCGCACGGGUGAGUAACACGUAUCCAACCUGCCGUCUACUCUUGGACAGCCUUCUGAAAGGAAGAUUAAUACAAGAUGGCAUCAUGAGUCCACAUGUUCACAUGAUUAAAGGUAUUCCGGUAGACGAUGGGGAUGCGUUCCAUUAGAUAGUAGGCGGGGUAACGGCCCACCUAGUCUUCGAUGGAUAGGGGUUCUGAGAGGAAGGUCCCCCACAUUGGAACUGAGACACGGUCCAAACUCCUACGGGAGGCAGCAGUGAGGAAUAUUGGUCAAUGGGCGAGAGCCUGAACCAGCCAAGUAGCGUGAAGGAUGACCGCCCUAUGGGUUGUAAACUUCUUUUAUAAAGGAAUAAAGUCGGGUAUGCAUACCCGUUUGCAUGUACUUUAUGAAUAAGGAUCGGCUAACUCCGUGCCAGCAGCCGCGGUAAUACGGAGGAUCCGAGCGUUAUCCGGAUUUAUUGGGUUUAAAGGGAGCGUAGAUGGAUGUUUAAGUCAGUUGUGAAAGUUUGCGGCUCAACCGUAAAAUUGCAGUUGAUACUGGAUAUCUUGAGUGCAGUUGAGGCAGGCGGAAUUCGUGGUGUAGCGGUGAAAUGCUUAGAUAUCACGAAGAACUCCGAUUGCGAAGGCAGCCUGCUAAGCUGCAACUGACAUUGAGGCUCGAAAGUGUGGGUAUCAAACAGGAUUAGAUACCCUGGUAGUCCACACGGUAAACGAUGAAUACUCGCUGUUUGCGAUAUACUGCAAGCGGCCAAGCGAAAGCGUUAAGUAUUCCACCUGGGGAGUACGCCGGCAACGGUGAAACUCAAAGGAAUUGACGGGGGCCCGCACAAGCGGAGGAACAUGUGGUUUAAUUCGAUGAUACGCGAGGAACCUUACCCGGGCUUAAAUUGCAGAUGAAUUACGGUGAAAGCCGUAAGCCGCAAGGCAUCUGUGAAGGUGCUGCAUGGUUGUCGUCAGCUCGUGCCGUGAGGUGUCGGCUUAAGUGCCAUAACGAGCGCAACCCUUGUUGUCAGUUACUAACAGGUUCUGCUGAGGACUCUGACAAGACUGCCAUCGUAAGAUGUGAGGAAGGUGGGGAUGACGUCAAAUCAGCACGGCCCUUACGUCCGGGGCUACACACGUGUUACAAUGGGGGGUACAGAGGGCCGCUACCACGCGAGUGGAUGCCAAUCCCAAAAACCUCUCUCAGUUCGGACUGGAGUCUGCAACCCGACUCCACGAAGCUGGAUUCGCUAGUAAUCGCGCAUCAGCCACGGCGCGGUGAAUACGUUCCCGGGCCUUGUACACACCGCCCGUCAAGCCAUGGGAGCCGGGGGUGCCUGAAGUGCGUAACCGCGAGGAGCGCCCUAGGGUAAAACUGGUGACUGGGGC